UACGUAGGGUGCGAGCGUUAAUCGGAAUUACUGGGCGUAAAGCGUGCGCAGGCGGUUUUGUAAGCCAGGUGUGAAAUCCCCGGGCUCAACCUGGGAAUGGCAUUUGGGACUGCAAGGCUGGAGUGCGGCAGAGGAGACUGGAAUUCCUGGUGUAGCAGUGAAAUUCGUAGAUAUCGGGAGGAACACCAGUGGCGAAGGCGGCGAUCUGGGCAGAUACUGACGCUGAGGUGCGAAAGCGUGGGGAGCAAACAGG
Molecule: ribosomal RNA, 253 nt
Filed under: uncultured bacterium
Lineage: Bacteria
Description: partial 16S ribosomal RNA
Rfam family: Bacterial small subunit ribosomal RNA
Source: RNAcentral